GAUGAACGCUGGCGGCGUGCCUAAUACAUGCAAGUCGAACGAAACUUCUUUAUCACCGAGUGCUUGCACUCACCGAUAAAGAGUUGAGUGGCGAACGGGUGAGUAACACGUGGGCAACCUGCCCAAAAGAGGGGGAUAACACUUGGAAACAGGUGCUAAUACCGCAUAACCAUAGUUACCGCAUGGUGACUAUGUAAAAGGUGGCUAUACUACCGCUUUUGGAUGGGCCCGCGGCGCAUUAGCUAGUUGGUAGGGUAAAGGCUUACCAAGGCAAUGAUGCGUAGCCGAAUUGAGAGGUUGAUCGGCCACAUUGGGACUGAGACACGGCCCAAACUCCUACGGGAGGCAGCAGUAGGGAAUCUUCCACAAUGGGCGAAAGCCUGAUGGAGCAACGCCGCGUGGGUGAAGAAGGUCUUCGGAUCGUAAAACCCUGUUGUUAGAGAAGAAAGUGCGUGAGAGUAACUGUUCACGUUUCGACGGUAUCUAACCAGAAAGCCACGGCUAACUACGUG
RNAcentral lists this ribosomal RNA (512 nucleotides) under uncultured bacterium. RNAcentral's name for it is "partial 16S ribosomal RNA". It matches the Rfam family "Bacterial small subunit ribosomal RNA", at positions 28 to 507 of the family's 1533-position model. The record is from RNAcentral.